GCACUCGUGGCGGAAUUGGCAUACGCGAUAGCUUGAGGAGCUAUGCCCGUAAGGGCGUGGGAGUUCGAGUCUCCCCGAGUGCACAA
This 86-nucleotide transfer RNA is filed under the name Candidatus Woesebacteria bacterium GWC1_42_13. RNAcentral describes it as "tRNA-Leu". It matches the Rfam family "tRNA". Rfam says of the family: Transfer RNA (tRNA) molecules are approximately 80 nucleotides in length. Their secondary structure includes four short double-helical elements and three loops (D, anti-codon, and T loops). Further hydrogen bonds mediate the characteristic L-shaped molecular structure. tRNAs have two regions of fundamental functional importance: the anti-codon, which is responsible for specific mRNA codon recognition, and the 3' end, to which the tRNAs corresponding amino acid is attached (by aminoacyl-tRNA synthetases). tRNAs cope with the degeneracy of the genetic code in two manners: having more than one tRNA (with a specific anti-codon) for a particular amino acid; and 'wobble' base-pairing, i.e. permitting non-standard base-pairing at the 3rd anti-codon position. RNAcentral also lists the same sequence under 1 other name. Lineage: Bacteria; Candidatus Woeseibacteriota. The record is from RNAcentral.